This 441-nucleotide ribosomal RNA is filed under the name uncultured bacterium. RNAcentral's name for it is "partial 16S ribosomal RNA". It matches the Rfam family "Bacterial small subunit ribosomal RNA", at positions 338 to 795 of the family's 1533-position model. The record is from RNAcentral.
CCUACGGGUGGCUGCAGUGGGGAAUAUUGGGCAAUGGGCGCAAGCCUGACCCAGCAACGCCGCGUGAAGGAUGAAGGUUUUCGGAUUGUCAACUUCUGUCGCGAGGGACGAAGAAUGACGAUACCGUGUAAGAAAGCCCCGGCUAACUACGUGCCAGCAGCCGCGGCAAUACGUAGGGGGCAAGCGUUGUCCGGAAUGACUGGGCGUAAAGGGAGGGUAGGAGGCUUUGUACGUUAGAUGUGAAAUCCUACGGCUUAACCGUAGAACUGCAUCUAAAACUGUGAGGCUGGAGUGCAUGAGAGGUGAGUGGAAUUCCUGGUGUAGCGGUGGAAUGCGUAGAUAUUAGGAGGAACACCAGCGGCGAAGGCGACUCACUGGACUGUAACUGACGCUGAGGCUCGAAAGCGUGGGGAGCAAACAGGAUUAGAGACCCCUGUAGUC